Molecule: transfer-messenger RNA, 374 nt
Filed under: Chitinophagaceae
Lineage: Bacteria; Pseudomonadati; Bacteroidota; Chitinophagia; Chitinophagales
Also listed under: 1 other name
Description: Flavisolibacter sp014163555 Standard tmRNA
Rfam family: transfer-messenger RNA
About the family: Bacterial tmRNA, also known as 10Sa RNA or SsrA, is named for its dual tRNA and mRNA-like properties. Its role is to liberate the mRNA from a stalled ribosome.
Source: RNAcentral
GGGGGUGUUUGGUUUUGACAGCAUCGAUCUUUGAAAGUGUAAGCAUGCCGAGCGUUGGAUAAUUAGCUCGUAAAUCUGAAUAUUCAAACUACAAAUGGCAAUACUCAGUAUGCCAUGGCUGCCUAAUCAGUGAUUAGUUAGUCAUUAGGGCCGCCGCGCAGGUUUGUCUCUUACCAAGCGCCGCCGCCGACUUAAAAACAAACAGGGAUUGCGGCAAUCGAAGGCUGUGACGAUUGCUUAAGUACCAUCCAGCUACGGAGAUGAUUGGUUUGUUCUGCCCCGGCCAUUUCCCGACAAGCAAUGCAGAAAUAAGCAUGUAGAAAGCUUUUGGAUAUCAUGUUUGGACACCGGUUCGAGCCCGGUCACCUCCACAC